AACGCUGGCGGGAUGCUUUACACAUGCAAGUCGAACGGCAGCAUAGAGAGCUUGCUCUCUGAUGGCGAGUGGCGAACGGGUGAGUAAUAUAUCGGAACGUGCCCAGUAAUGGGGAAUAACUAGCCGAAAGGUUAGCUAAUACCGCAUACGACCUACGGGUGAAAGCAGGGGAUCUUAGGACCUUGCGUUAUUGGAGCGGCCGAUAUCUGAUUAGCUUGUUGGUGGGGUAAAAGCCUACCAAGGCAACGAUCAGUAGCUGGUCUGAGAGGACGAUCAGCCACACUGGAACUGAGACACGGUCCAGACUCCUACGGGAGGCAGCAGUGGGGAAUUUUGGACAAUGGGGGAAACCCUGAUCCAGCCAUCCCGCGUGAGUGAAGAAGGCCUUCGGGUUGUAAAGCUCUUUCGAAAGUGAAGAAAACUUAUUUCAUAAUAUGUUAUGAGUAUGACGGUAACUUUAGAAGAAGCACCGGCUAACUACGUGCCAGCAGCCGCGGUAAUACGUAGGGUGCGAGCGUUAAUCGGAAUUACUGGGCGUAAAGCGUGCGCAGGCGGUUUUGUAAGUCAGAUGUGAAAUCCCCGAGCUUAACUUGGGAACUGCGUUUGAAACUACAAGACUAGAGUGUGUCAGAGGGGGGUAGAAUUCCACGUGUAGCAGUGAAAUGCGUAGAGAUGUGGAGGAAUACCAAUGGCGAAGGCAGCCCCCUGGGAUAACACUGA
This 720-nucleotide ribosomal RNA is filed under the name beta proteobacterium IMCC14752. RNAcentral's name for it is "bacterial SSU rRNA". It matches the Rfam family "Bacterial small subunit ribosomal RNA", at positions 32 to 743 of the family's 1533-position model. The record is from RNAcentral. Lineage: Bacteria; Pseudomonadati; Pseudomonadota; Betaproteobacteria.